GCUGCCCUGCAGGUGCUGGAUCUGCUGGCACCACAGACAUUGGGGCACAGAGGAAGUGGCUGUUUCUACACUCAGUGCUCAGAACAGUGGGCACUAAAAAUAGUUUAUAGCCUGACAGUC
Molecule: non-coding RNA, 120 nt
Organism: Myotis davidii
Lineage: Eukaryota; Metazoa; Chordata; Mammalia; Chiroptera; Vespertilionidae
Source: Rfam